RNAcentral lists this ribosomal RNA (443 nucleotides) under uncultured bacterium. RNAcentral describes it as "partial 16S ribosomal RNA". It matches the Rfam family "Bacterial small subunit ribosomal RNA", at positions 338 to 795 of the family's 1533-position model. The record is from RNAcentral.
CCUACGGGAGGCAGCAGUGGGGAAUAUUGGGCAAUGGGCGCAAGCCUGACCCAGCAACGCCGCGUGAAGGAAGAAGGCUCUCGGGUUGUAAACCUCUUUUCUCAGGGACGAAGAAAGUGACGGUACCGGAGGUAUAAGCCACGGCUAACUACGUGCAAGCAGCCGCGGUAAUACGUAGGUGGCAAGCGUUAUCCGGAUUUAUGGGGUGUAAAGGGCGUGUAGGCGGGGGCGGAAAUCAGUUGUGAAAACACUGGGCUCAACCCCGAGCCUGGAUUUGAAACUGUGUAUCUUGAGUGCUGGAGAGGCAAUCGGAAUUCCGUGUGUAGCGGUGAAAUGCGUAGAUAUACGGAAGAACACCAGUGGCGAAGGCAGAUUGCUGGACAGUAACUGACGCUGAGGCGCGAAAGCGUGGGGAGCAAACAGGAUUAGAUACCCGAGUAGUC